GGGUCGGUAGCGAAGUGGUCAAACGCACCUGACUGUAAAUCAGGCAGCCCUGCUUUCGGAGGUUCGAAUCCUCCUCGGCCCA
RNAcentral lists this transfer RNA (82 nucleotides) under Caudoviricetes sp. RNAcentral describes it as "tRNA-Tyr". It matches the Rfam family "tRNA". From Rfam's summary of the family: Transfer RNA (tRNA) molecules are approximately 80 nucleotides in length. The record is from RNAcentral. Lineage: Duplodnaviria; Heunggongvirae; Uroviricota; Caudoviricetes.